GAUGAACGCUGGCGGCGUGCCUAAUACAUGCAAGUCGAGCGAACAGACGAGGAGCUUGCUCCUCUGACGUUAGCGGCGGACGGGUGAGUAACACGUGGAUAACCUACCUAUAAGACUGGGAUAACUUCGGGAAACCGGAGCUAAUACCGGAUAAUAUAUUGAACCGCAUGGUUCAAUAGUGAAAGACGGUUUUGCUGUCACUUAUAGAUGGAUCCGCGCCGCAUUAGCUAGUUGGUAAGGUAACGGCUUACCAAGGCAACGAUGCGUAGCCGACCUGAGAGGGUGAUCGGCCCCACUGGAACUGAGCCACGGUCCAGACUCCUACGGGCGGCAGCAGUAGGGAAUCUUCCGCACUGGGCGAAAGCCUGACGGAGCAACGCCGCGUGAGUGAUGAAGGUCUUCGGAUCGUAAAACUCUGUUAUUAGGGAAGAACAAAUGUGUAAGUAACUAUGCACGUCUUGACGGUACCUAAUCAGAAAGCCACGGCUAACUACGUG
This 497-nucleotide ribosomal RNA is filed under the name uncultured bacterium. Its description in RNAcentral is "partial 16S ribosomal RNA". It matches the Rfam family "Bacterial small subunit ribosomal RNA", at positions 28 to 507 of the family's 1533-position model. The record is from RNAcentral.